UAUACUUAGUGGCGGACGGGUGAGUAACGCGUGGGCAACCUGCCCCGUGCCGGGGGAUACCGCCUGGAAACAGGCGCUAAUACCGCAUAAGCGCAUACAGCCGCAUGGCAGUAUGCGGAAAGCUCCGGCGGCACGGGAUGGGCCCGCGCCCGAUUGGCCAGUUGGCGGGGUAACGGCCCACCAAAGCGACGAUCGGUAGCCGGCCUGAGAGGGCGGACGGCCACAUUGGGACUGAGACACGGCCCAAACUCCUACGGAAGGCAGCAG
This 267-nucleotide ribosomal RNA is filed under the name uncultured bacterium. RNAcentral's name for it is "partial 16S ribosomal RNA". It matches the Rfam family "Bacterial small subunit ribosomal RNA", at positions 87 to 354 of the family's 1533-position model. The record is from RNAcentral.